This is a non-coding RNA of Ictidomys tridecemlineatus (thirteen-lined ground squirrel), 1913 nucleotides long. The record is from RefSeq and is a predicted model, not a curated record. Lineage: Eukaryota; Metazoa; Chordata; Mammalia; Rodentia; Sciuridae.
ACCAUUCCUUGUCUCCAUUUGAUACUCCUCCCAUAUAACGUCCCUUUGGUUUUCAAAUAUAAUUGAAGCUAUUUAAAAAAAUCACACUCUCCCCUUGGAGCUAUUUAUGUGAAACUUAUGUAAGUCCCGCCCCGCCCUGUUAUAAAUUCGUUCCUUGGUCUCUGAGUUAUUUCCUGUUAUUUUAGUCUUCGGACGAGAUGGAAUCCAAUCACUGAGAAAGAAAUUUACAUCUAGGCCAUGACACAAACCCAAGAUUCUGCCGUGACUUUUCAGAAUGCUGGAAAGGGUCGUAGCCACUCAAAUGAGGCAGAGAAGCUGGGAUUUUAGCGUCAGGCAUGGUCUUGCAACGCACGGACGCCUACGAGCUGUCCUGACUCGUAGAUCCGUAAGCUGUUUCCACCGCCGCAGGCAAUUUUACAAGGCUCUUCCCUCCAAGGGCAUCCUUUUCCAGGAACUACGUGGAGACAAGGAGAAACAUGGAACGUCACAGUCCAGAAAGCUUUGGUAAUAUUCCACAGUGGCCGGCAGAGAAGACCGACUUCCAAAAUGGUGACGACAUUCAGUUUGAGGUCUGUUGUGGUUGAGCGGUGAUGUGUCCCCCAACAGCAGAGCGAGAUGAUUGGAGUGUGACAGCUGUGACCUCGUCCGUCCACCCUGGAUUGAAUGCACUGACUGGGUGGUCACUGUGGGUAGGUGGGGUGUGGCUGGAGGAGGUGAAGAUUCAGCCCCUGCGAUUCCCCAUCCCUGCUCCGGUUAUUUGGCUUUUGAAGCACUGCUCCUCUGCCUAAUGGGACUCACAGGGUCAGAUUACGAUUGGAGAGUCUGUCGCUCUCGUGAACACUCAAACCCCAUGAUGGGAAUUUCAUUUUAUUACGUGGUGAAAUGAUCAAGAAGUACCUGCAAGCAAAUUCAGAAAGACAUGCCGGAGUCAGCCAGUUCCUGACCGUCCCCCUGGUACAUUCCGCCCACAUUGAUCAUUCCAUAUUUACUAGUCGUGUUCCUUUGUACUUGCUCUGUGUUUAUUAAGCUCUGUUAAUCCAUUUUCCCUCUUGUGUUAUCAACUAUAAUGUAACAUGCUGCGUAUUUCUUUACUUGCACAUUUCCCAGUGGCUGGACCUUUUGCUAAUUGGGGCUAUUUCUUAGUUUGACUAAAGACUUUGACAAAUAUCUUUUGAUAUUAAUAAAUCCAUGACACGUUGAGAUCUUUUAAUAUCGGCAAGACAGAUUCCCAGAUGUGCAAUUGCCAAGUGAAGAGGACAUACACAGAGUUUGGCCACUUGAUGCCCGUGGCCCCAAAGCGAACCAAAUCACAACUUAUGUCCACUGCACGCCCCUAAGGAACCAAAGCGUCCUAAUUCUCAAAAUCUUGAAUCGACCCAACAAAUUGAAAGCCAGAUGUUAAGUCUUUUUUUUUUUCCAAUUGAGGUUGAAUUCUUUCCCAUUUUUUUAUUAUUAUUUCUUUUAAUUAUGUAUGGAUACAUACCUUUUUUAAAAUUUUUUUUUAUGUGAGGCUGAGGUUCGAACCCACUGCCUCACACGUGCUAGGGAAGCACUCUGCCACUGAGCUAUAACCCCAGCCCCUCUCCACAUGUUUUUGAAACCAUAUCUAGUUUGUAGUUUGUGUGACAGACUUAUUUUAACAAACAGAACCAUUUAUCUCCUUUAUAGUUGUCUUCUGGAAGAUUUUUUUUAAAAAGUAUUUGCUACUCUAUGGUACAGAUGUUGCUAAAUACUGUCACUUAAGAACAAAAAAAGUGCGCUGUAUGUGUAAUAUGAAUUCUGACGCAUUCUGCUGUCGUUAGAAUUUAAGAAUUUUUUAAAAAGAACAAGAAAAUGUAUCACAGACACCGCUACCUUGUUAUGCUCCCGUGUUGACUUUGAGUGCUCACUAAGUGAAUAAAAUACAAAGCAGA